CAGAUACUGAUCUUAAGCUGAUUUCAGAUUGUUGAUUUUUUCCUUUUUUCCUAUGCUGUGUUCCCUUGAUGAGUCAUCAUUCACUCAUCAACCCUCCUCUCUGUUGCACUAUGUUGUGCCAUAUGCCUUGCUAGAGUGAAACAGCAGAACUGCUGCUUCCCACCCAGAAAAGCACAUCAAUAUCUCAGCAUCAACAUGGAAGGCACUGUACAACAGAAAAUUCUCCAUUGCUUGAAGAAGACUUACGAAGAUCAAAAGGAGCACCAGAAGUAUUUCUGUGUAGGAUCAUUUGAUGCUAACCAUGCCUUUUUUUUUUUUUUUAAAUCUCACCAAAAAAAAGCAAGAGGUGAGGGAACAGAAAAGUAUAAAGACACAACCAAGACAGCAGUGUCAGGAGAGAUUGAGUCAGCUGGUCCUGAGCACGCCGAUGUAAACAAGAGAGGAGGCUGGGGAGCAGACAGAGCUUCUAAACAUCACAGACAGAGCAGCACAGUGUGAUCUGCAGAUCAAUGUGUGGACCUGGGCAGCAGCUUGUUAAAACGGAUGAACAGCUUGAACGGAUCCAUCUCAUUUUCUCCCUCAUCACCCUCUCUAUUAAAUGUAAGCUA
This is a long non-coding RNA of Pipra filicauda (Wire-tailed manakin), 608 nucleotides long. RefSeq lists it as uncharacterized. The transcript has 3 exons. The record is from RefSeq and is a predicted model, not a curated record. NCBI's taxonomy places the organism in Eukaryota, Metazoa, Chordata, Aves, Passeriformes, Pipridae.